This 397-nucleotide ribosomal RNA is filed under the name uncultured bacterium. Its description in RNAcentral is "bacterial SSU rRNA". It matches the Rfam family "Bacterial small subunit ribosomal RNA", at positions 28 to 409 of the family's 1533-position model. The record is from RNAcentral.
GAUGAACGCUGGCGGCGUGCCUAAUACAUGCAAGUCGAACGAGGUGCUUUUGUAGCAAUACGAAAGUAUCCUAGUGGCGAACGGGUGAGUAACGCGUUGGUGACCUACCCCAAAGUGUGGGAUAACAGUUCGAAAGAACUGCUAAUACCGCAUGUGGUUAUCGGAUUUUAGAAACUGAUAACUAAAGGAGCAAUUCGCUUUGGGAGGGACCUGCGUCCCAUCAGCUAGUUGGUGAGGUAAUGGCUCACCAAGGCUACGACGGGUAGGGGACCUGAGAGGGUGACCCCCCACAAUGGAACUGAAACAACGGUCCAUACACCUACGGGUGGCAGCAGUAGGGAAGUAUUGCACAAUGGGCGGAAAGACCCGUGAUGCAGACGAACGCCGCGUGUGCGAU